RNAcentral lists this ribosomal RNA (253 nucleotides) under uncultured bacterium. Its description in RNAcentral is "partial 16S ribosomal RNA". It matches the Rfam family "Bacterial small subunit ribosomal RNA", at positions 524 to 776 of the family's 1533-position model. The record is from RNAcentral.
UACGUAGGUGGCAAGCGUUGUCCGGAGUUAUUGGGCGUAAAGCGCGCGCAGGCGGUGCGGGAAGUCUCUGGUGAAAGCGCUCGGCUUAACUGGGCGAGGGCCGGGGAGACUGCCACGCUGGAGGGGGGCAGAGGCGAGUGGAAUUCCGGGUGUAGUGGUGAAAUGCGUAGAGAUCCGGAGGAACACCAGUGGCGAAGGCGGCUCGCUGGGCUCUACCUGACGCUGAGGCGCGAAAGCGUGGGGAGCAAACAGG